Molecule: ribosomal RNA, 440 nt
Filed under: uncultured bacterium
Lineage: Bacteria
Description: partial 16S ribosomal RNA
Rfam family: Bacterial small subunit ribosomal RNA
Source: RNAcentral
CCUACGGGCGGCAGCAGUGGGGAAUAUUGCACAAUGGGGGAAACCCUGAUGCAGCGACGCCGCGUGAGUGAAGCAGUAAUUCGUUAUGUAAAGCUCUAUCAGCAAGGAAGAAAAUGACGGUACCUGAGUAAGAAGCCCCGGCUAACUACGUGCCAGCAGCCGCGGUAAUACGUAGGGGGCAAGCGUUAUCCGGAUUUACUGGGUGUAAAGGGAGCGUAGACGGCAGUGCAAGUCUGGAGUGAAAGGGGGGGGCUCAACCCCCGGACUGCUCUGGAAACUGUACGGAUGGAGUGCAGGAGAGGUAAGUGGAAUUCCUAGUGUAGCGGUGAAAUGCGUAGAUAUUAGGAGGAACACCAGUGGCGAAGGCGGCUUACUGGACUGUAACUGACGUUGAGGCUCGAAAGCGUGGGGAGCAAACAGGAUUAGAUACCCUAGUAGUC